ACAAUUACGACAUUAAAGAAAACUUAUUAUUUUUAACACUCGAAACAUCGGUAUUAGUAUAUACUUACCGCCGAGUACGCAAUGAAGAGAAGCGAGAGAAAUAUGAAUCCACACAAAAUACGUGGACCCAUUAUACUUUAUUCGAUGUCUCAGUUUUCAAUUCGUUUCUUCCUUGAGUGAUCAAACUCCAGUUAUGCUUUCAUUUAUACACAUAUAGACAUGUGAAAAACUGCAACAUUUGCAGAAAUGUGAGAUCCAUUUAGCCUUCAAAUAUCUUUCGUACAGAAUAACCCCCGCAGUCACGCCUUUGCUAUAUCACGUACUUGUAAGUAACCUUUAUUUCUGUCGUCUAAAUAUUUGUUUUUGUACAUUAAAAUACGAUGCCAAUAACGGAAAAUCACAAUAUCAUCGACGUAUUUUCUAAAAAAUGCAGAAGAGUCACUAAGUGGUGGUGUAACGUGUUCGCCCAUUUGUAUAAAUGCAAGAUGUAUUCCUGAAAGGAGACAGAUCCGACGCAAACUCUGUAUGUAGGCCAACCACCGAUUAGUACAGAAAUAUAAACACAAAUAUAUCGACCGCAUGAUAAGUUUACAUAAUUUUGCAAAGGAAAUGGUUAGAUAAUACAAAUGCAAUUAUCAUGAUGCUCUGGAAGGGCAUUAUCCAUCGCCAAUUUUUUAAAAUUGAAAUUCGAAAAUUUACUAUGCUUCAGAGACUUCAUCUGUCUAUGUCUUCAAGCAAGAACACACCUACUAACUACCUACUCUGUAGUGGCCGGUAGAUAAAUCUAAACGUCAUCAUUUUAAAUAGCAAUGGUUAAUGUCCUAUUGAAGUGUCACAAUAGUACUAGAACACAACUCUAAAAAACUUUAGAAAUAUAUUACAGAAUAAAAUUAUGCUGAACUACUGAAGUUGGUUAAUCUCAAAACACGAAUUCAAACAUCCCAACAGUUUGUUAAGACCUAAACGUGUUCAAGGAUCAUGCACUGUCAUCAGCACAAGUCAUUCCUCCUGGACAUUCUUGCUCUAGAUGCUGAUAAUGACACAUUCCUAACAAUCCGCAACAAGCAGCUGACAUGGACACGACAGUGUCUACAGUCAAACGGUGUCCUAUUCUAUCAAAGUAAUACCAUCCUUUAUAGAAUUGUUACAAGUUCCAGCUGCUUCAAAUAUGAAGGAAUGCAUCAGAUACCUUCCUCUCAUUACAUCUCUAACAAUGCAGAUGAUGCUGUGUCACUGCAAGAACUUGGAGGUCACAACGAUGCCUCUAUCCAGCAAGCAAGAUGUGUUACUUUCCAGCAUCAGUUCUGAUCCUACCAUUCUGGAAGGUAAUAAGAAUAAGUCAAUUAUUGACAGCAACACAGAAAACCAAAUCAUUGCUAUAAGUAAAAGCAGUCAAUCACAGAAAAAUAAAGAAGCAAAUUUAAACAAGGAAAAAAAUAAUCCAUCAUAUAAAUGUGUUCAUUAUAAUGUGGAAAGUGACUUCACAUACAGGAAGGCAUCUUCUAGAGCUGAUCAGAACUCCAAAAGUCUAAUUUUGGAUAACUAUUUGUCAUCCGAGCUUCAAACUGAUGCUGUAACUUCCAAAGAUGCAUUAUUUAAGAAUAGGGUCAGUUCAGCUAAACAUGAUCAGCAGAGUGAACACAUUCCCAAGUCAUUUAAUGAGGAACCUAAAAAGAUGACAAUGUGGAGAUUUAAUGUUGAUAAAAAAAACACACAACAUAAAAAUGAUAGUUCUAUUACUGAUGACUUUUUGAUCAGAAAUGACUCUACAUCAGUUGAACAAAACAAAAUUCAUGCCAAUAUGUACAGAGCUAAACAAAGGCAUUUCAAACGAAAUUAUCACUUGAAAGAUUUUGCAAACACUGAAAUAGAAAACAAAAAUGGCAUAUUGAAUGCUGAGAAACAUAAUAAACAAAUCACACUGAAUGCAGACAUACCUCAGAAUAAUACUCAGUUUUCUUUACCUGACAAAAACCUUAUUACAGCAACAUUAUUUGAAGGCAAUACACAUCUUGGUAAGAAAACAACCACAAACACAUCUCAAACAAAUCAAAUGAAGCAGCUAAUUACAGACAGCACAAAAAAUUCACCACCCAUGAAGAUCCAAGAAAUGAAUAACCAGUCAACUAAACAGGAUGUUGACGACACAGAAAUAAAUGAAAAUUUACCUCAGAAUGAUGUGUAUAUUGCAGCAAAUCAGAGUUUUUACCCAGCUAUUAGAGAAGACAAAGUACAGCCUCUGCAAGAUAUUUUAACCAACAACAAAAGUAAUGAACAUAGUUUACCAGUAAAUGUAAAUGACUUUUCAGUGACUAGUGAUCAUGGUUUUAGUAAGCUUCCAAUAGACUAUGAACACUUGAACCAAGAGUUAGAGAUGGAAAGUAACACUUUAGUGAUAAACAACAUCCAACCAAGACAGUCUCAGGAUAUACUAAAAUCUGCAGUCCUUCAGCAGCCAGGAGUUAGACAGCCCCAGGCAGGUCCUGAAAUGGAUUUGUUUAAGAAAGAGCUUGGGCGAGCAGAAAGACUCAACAGAUCUUUCGAAAAGUUGAUUCAGUUUGUCAACAUUGUUGCUCAAGUUGAUUCUUAUUUGACAGAUAAAGCAAGAGGUGCAAUUCGUAAGUUGGCAAGACUUUAUGAUGGUGACAAUGACCAAGGUUAUUACAGGUGUGCUUGAGAAAUUUCUUAUGUGAUCAAUAGGAUGGACAAUUUGCAACCUGACAUUCUCAGACCAGUUAAUUACAAAUACCUGUCAUGCACUGUAUUUUAAUAAUUUAACACUGGCAAGGGACAUGUAAUUCUCCUGCAUUUUAUUAUGUUAAAUGAAGCAAAGAGUUGAUGUUAGCUGUUCAUUAGCUAUAAUUGGCA
Molecule: non-coding RNA, 2868 nt
Organism: Zootermopsis nevadensis
Lineage: Eukaryota; Metazoa; Arthropoda; Insecta; Blattodea; Termopsidae
Source: RefSeq, a predicted model, not a curated record